Molecule: ribosomal RNA, 377 nt
Filed under: uncultured bacterium
Lineage: Bacteria
Description: bacterial SSU rRNA
Rfam family: Bacterial small subunit ribosomal RNA
Source: RNAcentral
UAAGACGAAGGUGGCGAGCGUUGUUCGGUGUCACUGGGCUUAAAGCGUGUGUAGGCGGAAAAGUAAGCGUCCUGUGAAAGCCCUCGGCUUAACCGAGGAAUUGCUCGACGAACUGCUUUUCUUGAGGCAAGCAGGGGUGCAUGGAACUCUUGGUGGAGCGGUGGAAUGCGUAGAUAUCAAGAGGAACGCCAGUGGAGAAAUCGGUGCACUGGGCUUGUCCUGACGCUGAGACACGAAAGCGUGGGGAGCGAACGGGAUUAGAUACCCCGGUAGUCCACGCCGUAAACGAUGUCUACUAGGUUGUGGUGGUUCUGACACCAGCACGGCCGAAGCAAAAGUGUUAAGUAGACCGCCUGGGGAGUACGGUCGCAAGGCUA